Cervus elaphus (red deer) is the source of this 2464-nucleotide long non-coding RNA. RefSeq lists it as uncharacterized. Lineage: Eukaryota; Metazoa; Chordata; Mammalia; Artiodactyla; Cervidae. The transcript has 3 exons. The record is from RefSeq and is a predicted model, not a curated record.
CAGGGGAGAGGUGUGCUCAGAAGUUACAGGCACCGGGUGAAGCUCCGGGUGGUGCAGGUUGGCAGUGGCCCCGGCAGUGAGGAGACUCAGCCGCUGUGGACCUGAAACCCACACAUGCUUCUGCUACAGAACUGCCUGCUUGAGAAAGAAAUGGCAACCCAAUCCAGUGUCCCUGCCUGGAGAAUCCCACGGACAGAGGAGCCUGGAGGGCUGCAGCCCAUGGAGUUGCCAAGAGUCGGACACGACUGAAGCAACUUAGUACGCAUUAUUCACCAAAUACGCUGACAAGGCCAUGGAAAGUGUUCUUCAUGAUGAGACCUCAGCUGAGAAACACUGAGUGACCUCCCAGGACCACUCAGUUGUUAGAGGCAGAAUCACUGCUUAGAUCUGGAUCUAAUAGCUACCAAACACAGAAAUGAACUAGCAGAAUCAACUUAUGCUCAAGACUCUGUUUGAGCCAAUGAUUCUCUCUCUAAGGAAAAUCUUCACAUGAAUUUAAAACGUUGAACACUUUUAGAGUGCCAGGCAGAAAUCUAGAGCUGAACCAUGCGUGAGCGCACCCGCUGGUUGCUGCGGCCACCACUGACCCAGCCUGCUCCCACACGGCCUGCACUCAUGACGAAGGCUCACCCUGGCAGAGCAGGCCUAGAGACGUAAGAGGCAGACUAAAGAAGCACAGUGAGGGCCCUGACCAUCUAGGAGAUCCUGGGGCGGAGACAGCCAUCUCUGAAGUGGGGACACACGGGCUGCCUCUUUGAGAGUAAAGAAAAAUCUAUUCUCAAACAAAAAGAGUCUACAUUGAAGAAGUACCCUCUCCAAAUGUACAACCGUGACUUAUUGACAAACAAGUCCCUGCAGUACUGAGCACAGCACAGAGUGCCAAGCGUGCCGCUGACAGUCAAACGGAAACUCCAACUAAACAACAUACAAAAAGGUAACAAGGGCAGAAGGACUUAAAUUAUACUGAUAGAAACCAAAACCAUAUGAAAUGCAGGAGAACUAUUUGAAGACCAAUACUUCUGUAAAAAUAAAUAUUUAACUCUAGGACCUAUUCUCACAGCAAGUUACAAAAAUAGAAUACAGUAUUAAACAAAUACAUGAAUAUAUCAAAAUUGGUUUAUAAAACAUUUUACUUUUGAGAAACCUAUUUCUCUUCCCUCCCUGUUCUAAUAAUUAUGUUCUUAGAUAUAUUUUGAUAAAACACUGUGAGCUUUGACUGGAUGACAGAUGGUCUUUGGAUUGUUUUCACAGAUACAAAAUCUCUCUCAGAAGGUUCUGAACUUGAAAUUUAUUUACUCUGAGUGUCACAAGCUGGGACAGAUUUAGGGUCACAGUAACUCCUUACCAACAACACUCCCAUCCGACAGUCUCCCAGCCAUCCAAGGGACUGCCCCUUGUUUCAAACAUCCUAUUCAGACAGAGUGAACUGCUGCCAAAUUUGGAAUGAUUGCAUGAUAGAUGAGGGUGUGAAUUAGACCAAAAUGUAGGGCAUUUCACAUGUCAUGAGUCCAUGUUCUGCCUAAAUAGAGGUCUUUUUUAUCCUUUUCGGAAGUUGGGGACAAGAGAACCAUGGAGGCAUAUUCGACACAGUGCUGCAGAAGAGGACCACUGAUACAGAUUUGAAGGAAGCUUCAGUAUUCUUCUGCCAACUCUCAAGAAACUGCCCAGGUACACAAAAAGGUUUUCUAGCAGUAUUUCGACUCUUUAUCUUUUUACGUUACCACUGCAUGUCUACAGCCCAACAGGAGUGGCAUUCAUAGUGAUCCUGCAGCUCUCAAGCGGUUUUAAAAGUGCCUUCUGAUUCACUUCACAAGAUGAUCAACUGCACAGCUGGGAAUUCACUGCAGUUUAUGGUGCGGCGAUACUUAGAAAGGGAGGUCUAUGUGUGAAUGUGCAAGUGUGACCAUGUGUUUGCUCUUUGUUAACCACAGUAUUUGUGUAGAAUACAUCGUCUUAUGAUCACAGAACUUUGAUUUAAAUAGUGCCAAUCUGUCCAGUAUGAUUGAAAGCAGUAAAUACCAUGGCAUUUGUGUUUGAAUUUCAUGCUUUUUGCCUUUUUUCUUUUCACAAUUAAUUAUUAUUAAAAUGUAUCAUGGUACCUAUUUGUCAGCAAGCCACUCAAAAAGAUGCCCUUGAAAAUAUUUCCAAGCAGCUUUUCCUUCUCCUGCUGCCCUCUAGAAGCAAAAAUAGAUCCACCUAACACAAGAAAAUAUUUUCCAGAGCUUCAGCUGUGUCAUAACAGUUAAAACUCAGCUAAUUUCCAAGUUCUGUGUUCCCACCUUCUCCACAGCAUUUCAAACCUUCUGAAAUGACAAGCUUCUUUAAUGGUGUGUUUUAUUCCUGGGAAAAGAGCAAUUAUAUGGAUACUUGGGUACUCUAGAUAAAACCUGGCAGUGAGGAUGGGCCUCGGGUCCCAGUCAUCCAGACAUACUGCAAGGAGUCCCCAUCGUCCAGAAGGUUUGCU